GAUGAAGAACGUAGCGAAAUGCGAUACUUGGUGUGAAUUGCAGAAUCCCGUGAACCAUCGAGUCUUUGAACGCAAGUUGCGCCCGAAGCCACUAGGCCGAGGGCACGCCUGCCUGGGCGUCACACGCCGUUGCCCCCCCAUCUACUCCUUCGGGGUUGCGGGGGGGCGGAUGAUGGCCUCCCGUGCGCCUAGCCGCGCGGUUGGCAUAAAUACCAAGUCCUCGGCGACGCACGCCACGACAAUCGGUGGUUGCGAAACCUCGGUUGCCCGUCGUGUGCGUUCGUCGCGCAUCGAGGGCUCGAAAAAAUGCUCGGCUCCGGCUGGGCUUUCAACGCGACCCCAGGUCAGGCGGGGUUACCCGCUGAAUUUAAGCAUAUCAAUAAGCGGAGGA
This 391-nucleotide unclassified non-coding RNA is filed under the name soil metagenome. Its description in RNAcentral is "partial contains 5.8S ribosomal RNA, internal transcribed spacer 2, and large subunit ribosomal RNA". The stretch from base 1 to 122 matches the Rfam family "5.8S ribosomal RNA", at positions 35 to 154 of the family's 154-position model. The record is from RNAcentral.